This 1192-nucleotide long non-coding RNA is filed under the name Nicotiana benthamiana. RNAcentral's name for it is "long non-coding RNA (NBEN_LNC031566)". The record is from RNAcentral. Lineage: Eukaryota; Viridiplantae; Streptophyta; Magnoliopsida; Solanales; Solanaceae.
ACGACCCAACCCGUUCUCUAAUACACACGCGUAUAAUCAAUCAGCUAGAGACCCCCAAAUCCCAAAUCUCUAAACUCCACGAGCAUUAUUCUUCUUCUCCGAAGAACACGCAAACAAGCCCCAAAAUUUCAUCUGAAUCCAUGGUGAGUGAGCAUCAAUCCAUGACCAACGCGUCCCUUUAUCUCACCUCUUGCCGUUACUAACGGCUCCGGACACCAAUAUUCCCUCUCUUCUCACUCGCUCAUUUUAGACCUAUCUCACGACUGGAAGAUUCUGAAGAUCAAAUGCUUCAAAACUGUCAGGUGUUAGAUUGUUUUCACUCAAUCCGAGCCCCACAUUCAUCAAGGAUUGGUCUCCAAAAGAGGCUUUAUCCAAUUUUUUGAGGGGACUCGACUAAAAAGUUUUAGAAAAAAAAUGUUGAAAGCAUUCUGGAAUUUAUGGUUUUCUGAGUUUGCUUCUUUCUUCUGGUCGAGUUCAUUAAAUGUUUAAGAGAAAGAUAUAUAUUUUUUUACUGUGUGAAUCCUGUUUUGAGUUCUAAAGAGAUGAAAAGAUGAAUUGAAGCUCGAGUUUUAUAUUCUAUUGUUGUUCUGUUGAGUUUCUACUGGACCUCUAUACGAUUUGGAGUCGAGAGUUGUAUUGUCGGGUUUAUAAUUGUUAUAAAAGAAAAUUUGCAACUUCAAGUGCCACUUUCCUCUCUUUAUUUUUAUGGGACUCUGUUUUAUUUCAGUGUUUUUUGAGAUAUGAGAUUCAAUAUUUGGUGGUUUGUUUGUGUUAUGAUAGAACUUCUUGCUUUCUAGAUCAGUUCGCAAUGGUGGUAUGUGUUUGAGUAUUUUCAGUUAGUAAAAAUCUAUUUUAGUAGUUGUCUGGCUCGAAGUAUAUUCUGAAUCAAUAUGUAAUUGCUUUCAAAUGAAUGACGUGUUCAGUUUCUUUUUGUGAUCUUCUUUACAAUACGCUCCGGUGUUCGUGAUGACUUAAUAGAGCCAUAAGGUUCAGAAAGUUAAUUAAUAGUUCUGUAGCUGUUAUAUUGGAAAUGUGUGGUCGACCUAGAAUGGUUUUCAUUGUUAACUGUAGUGUUCUAAUAGAGGAUUCAGCACACAAUUAGUCAAUUGCUAUGCUAAGGCCUACCUCAAAUCAAUUGGUUCAAAUAUACUAACAGUAGAGUUGCUGGAAGUUUUCUAUGUGUUGAUCGAUA